UUUGAUGAACUGUGUUCCACUGGACAGGCAGCAAUGCUGGCAGUAACAAGAGCAGGGAUACAAACAAUUACAAUAUCAAUCGAGCAAACGCUGUCAAAAGCGAAUAACAAAAGCUGGAUAAAGACAUUUAGGUGCCUAUAUCGGUGGUGUCCACCUCUUCCCAUUCCGAACAGAGAAGUUAAGCCCACCAGAGCCGAUGGUACUGCGGUAACACGUGGGAGAGUAGGUCGGUGCCAAAU
Molecule: ribosomal RNA, 239 nt
Filed under: Pedobacter cryoconitis
Lineage: Bacteria; Pseudomonadati; Bacteroidota; Sphingobacteriia; Sphingobacteriales; Sphingobacteriaceae
Source: RNAcentral